Molecule: ribosomal RNA, 1199 nt
Filed under: uncultured Bacillus sp.
Lineage: Bacteria; Bacillati; Bacillota; Bacilli; Caryophanales; Bacillaceae
Description: bacterial SSU rRNA
Rfam family: Bacterial small subunit ribosomal RNA
Source: RNAcentral
CAAGCUCGGAGCGGACCGACGGGAGCUUGCUCCCUUAGGUCAGCGGCGGACGGGUGAGUAACACGUGGGUAACCUGCCUGUAAGACUGGGAUAACUCCGGGAAACCGGGGCUAAUACCGGAUGCUUGAUUGAACCGCAUGGUUCAAUCAUAAAAGGUGGCUUUUAGCUACCACUUACAGAUGGACCCGCGGCGCAUUAGCUAGUUGGUGAGGUAACGGCUCACCAAGGCGACGAUGCGUAGCCGACCUGAGAGGGUGAUCGGCCACACUGGGACUGAGACACGGCCCAGACUCCUACGGGAGGCAGCAGUAGGGAAUCUUCCGCAAUGGACGAAAGUCUGACGGAGCAACGCCGCGUGAGUGAUGAAGGUUUUCGGAUCGUAAAACUCUGUUGUUAGGGAAGAACAAGUACCGUUCGAAUAGGGCGGCACCUUGACGGUACCUAACCAGAAAGCCACGGCUAACUACGUGCCAGCAGCCGCGGUAAUACGUAGGUGGCAAGCGUUGUCCGGAAUUAUUGGGCGUAAAGCGCGCGCAGGCGGUUUCUUAAGUCUGAUGUGAAAGCCCCCGGCUCAACCGGGGAGGGUCAUUGGAAACUGGGGAACUUGAGUGCAGAAGAGGAGAGUGGAAUUCCACGUGUAGCGGUGAAAUGCGUAGAGAUGUGGAGGAACACCAGUGGCGAAGGCGACUCUCUGGUCUGUAACUGACGCUGAGGCGCGAAAGCGUGGGGAGCGAACAGGAUUAGAUACCCUGGUAGUCCACGCCGUAAACGAUGAGUGCUAAGUGUUAGAGGGUUUCCGCCCUUUAGUGCUGCAGCAAACGCAUUAAGCACUCCGCCUGGGGAGUACGGUCGCAAGACUGAAACUCAAAGGAAUUGACGGGGGCCCGCACAAGCGGUGGAGCAUGUGGUUUAAUUCGAAGCAACGCGAGAACCUUACCAGGUCGUGACAUCUCUGACACCCUAGAGAUAGGGCUCCCCUUCGGGGGCAGAGUGACAGUGUGCAUGAUUGUCGUCAGCUCGUGUCGUGGAUGUGGGUAGUCCCGCACGAGCGCACCCUGAUCUAGUGCAGCAUCAGUUGGGCACUCUAGGUGACUGCGGUGAAGACGGAGGAGGUGGGAUGACGUCAAUCAUCAUGGCCUUAGGACUGGCUACACGUGUUCUCAAUGCGACAGGCAGCAACCCGGAGCCUAGGCGAAGUC